Molecule: ribosomal RNA, 97 nt
Filed under: Endozoicomonas sp. OPT23
Lineage: Bacteria; Pseudomonadati; Pseudomonadota; Gammaproteobacteria; Oceanospirillales; Endozoicomonadaceae
Source: RNAcentral
UGGAACCACCCGAUCCCAUCCCGAACUCGGAAGUGAAACGAUACAUCGCCGAUGGUAGUGUGGGGUUUCCCCAUGUGAGAGUAGGUCAUCGCCAGGC